This 666-nucleotide long non-coding RNA is filed under the name Cricetulus griseus (Chinese hamster). Its description in RNAcentral is "lncRNA (ENSCGRG00015030704.1)". Lineage: Eukaryota; Metazoa; Chordata; Mammalia; Rodentia; Cricetidae. The record is from RNAcentral.
GUCCCUCUCAACUUGUUUGUUGGCUCCCAGCUUUCAAAACUGACAAACUCCUUAACACGGGAACUCGGCCCAAAGACAAUCCUUAGUAAGAGCGGCUCUCUUCUUUAUUUUCCUGGAGCAUAGGAAUUGUACACAACAUCUACCAGAUGUAUUUUAGGCAUCUGUAUCUGGUUUUCCGAUGUUGAUAACCUGUUACCGGAGCCUGAAUUACUACUGGAUUCCUGCUGUUACUGAAGCUGCCUCCUAAGUAUUUCGCUACGUUCUUUUUUUAAAAGAGCUAUUUGUAAUCCCCAACAAGGCAAAACUUUCUCUACUUCUUCAAACAUUUUUUCCUAAAGCAUCUGCAUCUGAAUCAAUUAAUAAGAGAUCAUCCAUAUAAUGGCAUCUUGGUAACAUCACAAGGGCUAUAGUUCCAUGGUAGAACCUUUGCUUAGCGUCCUUGAGGCCUGGAUCCUGGCAAGGGGCAGGAAGUGAGGCAGACAUCCACAGAUAUACACUGAACUCUGGAACCUAGUUGCAGAGAGGGAGGAAUGAAGAUCAAAGGGGUCGGUACCAGGCUGGUGAAACCCACAGAAUCAGCCAGCCUGAACAAAGGGGAGCACAUGGACCCCAGACUGCUCUCUGGGAGGCCACCACAGGACUGAAUCAGACCCCUGAACAUGGAUG